Molecule: ribosomal RNA, 427 nt
Filed under: uncultured bacterium
Lineage: Bacteria
Description: bacterial SSU rRNA
Rfam family: Bacterial small subunit ribosomal RNA
Source: RNAcentral
GUAAGGAAUAUUGCACAAUGGGCGCAAGCCUGAUGCAGCAACGCCGCGUGCCGGAUGAAGGUCUUCGGAUCGUAAACGGCUUUUCUCAGGGACGAGCAAGGACGGUACCUGAGGAAUAAGUCUCGGCUAACUACGUGCCAGCAGCCGCGGUAACACGUAGGAGACGAGCGUUAUCCGGAUUUACUGGGCGUAAAGCGCGGGUCGGUGGGGUCUUAAGUCAUGCGUGAAAGCUCUCGGCUUAACCGGGAGAGGUCGUGUGAAACUGGGAUUCUCAGAGGUAGGUAGAGGCAGAUGGAAUUCCGGGUGGAGUGGUGAAAUGCGUAGAGAUCCGGAGGAACACCAGUGGCGAAGGCGAUCUGCUAGGCCUGACCUGACACUCAGCCGCGACAGCAUGGGGAGCGAACGGGAUUAGAAACCCCGGUAGUCC